UAGGAGGAGUGGCCUUGGGCUAGGAUAACUGGUAGUUUGGGCUGAGGACCCUGGCAGCAGCUUUCAGCCCUUCUGACUUAAUUCACAUUUCUUGCUUUUUGUUGUUGUUUUAUUUGUUUGUGAUUCAUUUUUUAUUGUGAUUUACUUUUUCUGUGGAUUCUUUACUGAAGACAAAAUGGUCAGAAAGGAACUAAAGAAAAGAAAAUGAAGCUGUUGAAAAGGAGAAAGAAAAAUAAAGUCAGAAUAUUGUGGCUUAUAAAGAGCUGGUGCAGAUAGACAGUUGACAGGAGCAAGAAACUCCUGGAGGCCAAGUAUUUGGGUGCUGAAAAUGACCUUACUGAGUGGCUAAUGGAAAGAAAGCUAAAAAAUCCUAUGGUGGAUGCAUACUUUUGGAGAUGUACUGCUCUGCAGUUCUUCUAGGUCGAAUUUGGAACCAUCAGUUUAACCAAGUUGUUGAGACCAAUAGCUGUGGACAGAAGUUCAACAAGAGGCCAACAUUUUGCUGUGCGUCAGUGGAAGAACCCAGGUCCAUUCAACCUGAUUGCAUUACAAGUGGCUUUCUACAACGUAAGCUGAGUCUGCUAUGCACUGUUUCCUGUAUUGUGCUCUGGGAGGAUGGAGCUUGUUAUUUAAGUGCUUAAUACUGCAUCCAGAAUAUGCAGAGGCUAAAUUUAGCAAUGCCAAUUCGAACUCUUGGGUUUGGCUUGUUUGGUGUUUUUGAAUGGCAAGAAAGAAAAACAUACAGGGUAAAAAUGUGUACCUUAAAAAUAGUAUUGCAUUUGUAGAAUCAGAGUCUAUUUUAUAAACAAUUUAAUGGAAUUUCUGAAAAUGUUAUAUUCAUCU
Molecule: long non-coding RNA, 843 nt
Organism: Hirundo rustica (Barn swallow)
Lineage: Eukaryota; Metazoa; Chordata; Aves; Passeriformes; Hirundinidae
Exons: 4
Source: RefSeq, a predicted model, not a curated record